AUCUUGGCGCCAGGCGGACAGGCAGAAGAGGUAGAGCGGCUGGGUGGGCCUAAGGGGUUCCAGACCUGCGCCCCAGGACCCGCCUCUGAGUGGCGUGGAGCCGGGGGUUGUGCUCCUCAGAGCGGCGGUUGGACGCUUGGCGGCUUGCGGUUGAACCCCGGGAAGAGGGAACGGCUUCCACGAAGCCAGGCUGUCUGAGGUAACCUGGAAGCGGCUUCCCCUUCAGCGCCGGCUCCGGAGACGCCGAGAGACUCCUGUCACUGCUCGCGGCCGCUGCAAGGCAGCUGGUCGGAGCCGGUCGGCCAGACUACCCCGGGCGAGGCCCGACGUCAUGUUCCUGAGGCCGCUCUGCACCCUUUGCGCGGGUGGCGCCCGUGCCCGCGCGGCUGAAACCCGCUCGGACACUGCCUGCAGGCCCAUUGCUCGCGGACGCGCCCCGAGUCGUGUCCACUUUCCCGCCUCCGCCGGCGUUUCCUUUACUGGCUGAUGUGACCGCGGGAGAAACGAGAGUCCUCGCCUCAGAGAUCAGCCUCUGUGAUGCAAAAGUUUGAUAAGUGUCCCCCGUGCCCCCUGAGCCUAGUGGGCAUAGGGAGCCGGCCUUUUGUAGAUACCGCGGCUUCCUGGGCAGAAUUUCUGUGCCAUUUCUAAUGGGUAACCUCAGGGAAAGUGAGAUUCACGAGGACUUGCUCAGAGGUCUAAAUGACCCUUGGAAAAGCUUGAAGUAAUCAUCACCAACUCACAUGCUCUCCUUUUUUAUCUGCUUGACAUUUGGAUAAACAUUUUGUGAACAAGGGUCACCUGUAAUUUUUCCUAGAUCAAAUUCAAAAUACACGUAUAAAUCUUCUGCAUAGUUUUCUUUACACAUCUUGCAAAGAAAUGUCAAGGAUGUUUUCAGUUAGUUGAUUUCUUGUGGGGAGCCUUUUUUUUUUUUUUUUUUUUGCUGUACUUUGGGAAAUAUGAAAUCUGAAUUCUCUGACCAGGGAUCAAACCCUUGCCCCCUGCACUGGAAGUGUGGAUUCUUAAUCACUGGACCCCCAGGAGACUCCCUUGGGAGAUGCUUUUUUCAAGAAAAUAAGGCUCCAGUUUUCCUAAUUACUUUCCUUCUACUCUGGUCUCAUAGUUUCAGCUCUCCUGGCAGUAAUCACAAUGGAAAGUAGCACCUCAAAUGGUCCAGGAAGCGAAGGUUUCCAUCUCAAGAGGAUGAAGGGUAAUACAAGUGUACCCACUUACCAAAGACAGAAGAUUAGGAUGAUAUGUUGACAUUUUAAGAGAAACUCUGAAUAUUCUCCUAAUCUUUCUUUGACAUGGAGAGGAUGGCAUAAGAAGUGCAUGAGUUAAAUAUUUGGAUAAUCCCAAAACUCGUGGGAGCCAGUGGGUACUAGGUUUUUCACCUGCUAACCUUUCCUGAUUUUUUUUUUUCUUUUGAGAAGGAGAAGUGACUUAUUGGAAUUUGUCUUUAAUAAGCUGUGCUGUAUUCAGUUGGUUAAUAGAAAAGGAGCAAAACACAGGCCUGGCAGUUGAUUUUUAAAGUUCAUUUUUCUCAUAAUAAGUAGCAAGUAAUAAAGUUCAUGUGACAAUAUCUUACUGACGUGAGCUUGUUUCUGCUCUCCGUGCUUUAGGAAGAAGAUCCUUUUAUUGAUUUUAUUCAAAACCAGAUCGGGCUUCAGUUGUCAGAGGUAGCCGCUGGUGGGGUGUCUAAUACAGGAGCAGAAUUGUUCCUGGAGAAGAAUGAUGACAGUAGAUCUGAAGGUGGCUGAGUUCUUGAACCCUCAGAUCAGAGCCCUUUGGGAGACCAAAGGACCUGUGGCAGAGAAUGCCAGUCAGCAUAAGAAACAUGCCCCACAGACGGACAGUCUCAGUCCUGAGAGGUCUCACCAGCACUUCCGGAACUUCCUCUAUCAUGAAGCAGCUGGACCCCGGGAGGUAGUUGACCAGCUUCAAGAAUUGUGCCGUCGGUGGCUGAGGCCAGAGAUUCUUUCAAAAGAGCAGAUCUUGGAACUUGUGGUGCUAGAGCAGUUCCUGACCAUUCUGCCCGGGGACACACAGACUCUCAUAAAGAAGCAACAUCCACAGAGCAUCGAGGAGGCUGUGGUCCUGGUAGAACACUUGCAAAGGGAAACUGGCCAAACAAGGAAUGGGGUUGCAGUCCAGGAGCUGGGAAAGGAGGCAGUACUCUUGGGAGAAGCAGCAGAGGCCCCAGGCUUCCAGCUGAAGCCAGCAGAGUCCCAGCCAGUGGGCAUGUCCCUGGAGGAAGAAGUUUGGAAUAUACACCAGGGUCUACAAGAACCACUGAGCAGGAAUACCCACAAAGAACCUGAGCCCGUAUGUGAGAGGGUGGUGCCUGCUCACCGGAUCCUAACCUUUCCUGAGCAGACAGACACCAAAGACUGGACAGUGGCACCUGAGCUUGUCUUGCCUGAGUCCCAGAGCUUGUUGACAUUUGAAGAAGUGGCCAUGUAUUUUUCCCAGGAAGAAUGGGAGUUACUGGAUCCCACUCAGAAGGCCCUCUACAAUGAUGUAAUGCAAGAAAACUAUGAGACUGUCAUCUCUCUAGCUGUGCCUGCUCACCAGCUCCUAGCCUUUCCUAAGCAGACAAAUACCAGUGAGUGGACAGUGGCACCUGAGCUCAUUCUGCCUGAGUCCCAGAGCUUGUUGACAUUUGAAGAAGUGGCCAUGUAUUUUUCCCAGGAAGAAUGGGAGUUACUGGAUCCCACUCAGAAGGCCCUCUACAAUGACGUAAUGCAAGAAAACUAUGAGACUGUCAUCUCUCUAGCAUUAUUUGUGCUCCCCAAACCUAAAGUGAUCUCCUGUCUAGAGCAAGGAGAAGAGCCAUGGGUUCAAAGACCCCUGGAGUUCAAGGAUAGUUCUGAAGAGCUGCCUACAGAUGAUGAAACAAAGUGCGAGAGAGAUCCACUGGCUACCACAGCUAAUUAUUUGCAGACUACAACAAGGUUCCCAAGUGUCUAGGUUCCUAACGUUCUAGGAUAUCUUCCUGCAUUUAUUUAUUUGUUUAACUAGCUGAGCAGGGUCUUAGUUGCUGCACGUGAACUCUAAGUUUCAGCACGUGGGAUCUUUUAGUUGCGGCAUGUGGGAUCUAGCUCCCCUGCCAAGGGUCGAACCCCACACUCCCUGCAUUGGGAGCGCAGAGUCUUUAGCCACUGGACCACCAGGGAAUUCCCUGCCUCCCUAUUUAGACAGCAGGGUAAUUGGAUGGCUAUAUUGACAGGAAAGAGAAGUGGGUGGGGGAGAGAGGGACAGAAUUGUGUUUGAUUAUGGGAAGAAAUGAAGGAAGAGCAGUGAUUCUCGGUAGUACUACUGUGGCUGUCUCGUCUGUAAACGGAGGGAGAACAGGUGCCACAAGGACCCUUCAAAAUAAGAGAAACAGAAGCGCCCAAACUGAAACGCCUGGCGAUUCAUGGGGUCACAAAGAGUCGGACACGCUUCAGCGACUGAACUGAACUGAAGGAUUAACAAAUAAGCGGUUUAAAUAGGUUAUGACGCAACGAGGAUCCCAUCUUCUCAUUGGGUAAGACUGCUGUCGAUUAGCGAAGGGGCGGGACCAGUCGGGGAGGGCUAUGCAUGCUCCUCGCCGCUGUUUUCCGGCUUAGCCUUUGCGCAUGCGCCAGACUUUUUGUAAGUCAUGGCUUGCACAAUGGCAGCUCCCGCGCUCUGGGAAAGACGGCCUGGUGGUUAACUGACUGGGUUGAGGGCGGUUUUCCCGGUGGGCGGACCCGAGCCCUGCAGCUCCCUCCUCUCUGAGGCUGUAGUCGUGUCUCGGAUCCUUGAACGGGAAGACACUCAGUGACCAUGAGCUGCAACCUCCUCUGUUUGGAGAGGCCUGGGAACUCGGAAGCCUGGUGUGUGGGCCCUGUCGCUCUUCGCCCUGUCCCUCCCUUUCCCCGUGAAGUCGCCUUUGAAAGGCCCUGAGCCUCUUGUUCUUGUGAUGUACGCGAAUAAAGCACUGGUUCACCAAGGCCUUAUGGCACUCAUGUGCUGGGCAGUGGGUACACGAAGACAGCUCAGAACUCCUUGUCUUCAGAGAGCGCCUAGACUGUGGAGUAGAUUACCCCGCAGAAACAAAUUCUGGUGUUUAGGUGGGUAAUGUAGCUGAGCAAGGGCCGUGUACCUCUGGUGCAGAAAGCCAAACUCUGACCGCAGGUGUUUGCAGUGUAAUAGAGGCGGGGCACGCAAGACAACAAAUACCUGUCCGGCCCCCAAUAUUAGUAGUGCUGAAGUUCAGAAAUCCCACCUUAGAGCCAUGGGAGUGAAAACGAAGGGGAGACCGAUCUCAGGGACAUCUCAGCCGAAACCAAUUUUCAACUUAGUUUGUACUCUUUAUAAUGCUUGAGUAUUGGACACCCGGUCAGUAAAACAGGUGUGAAGACCCUAGUCGUCUUUGUCUUUUUUCACCCAUUUAUUCAUUUGCCAAAUGUUUAUUUUAGGACUGAGCGACUUCACUUUCACUUUUCCCUUUCAUGCAUUGGAGAAGGAAAUGGCAACCCACUCCAGUGUUCUUGCCUGGAGAAUCCCAGGGAUGGCGGAGCCUGGUGGGCUGCUGUCUAUGGGGUCGCACAGAGUCAGACACGACUGAAGUGACUUAGCAGCGGCAGACACUUCUUGAGGUGCUGCGAUUCACCAAUGAAACAAAUUACCCACUCUCCAAGAACCUUACAUUCUGUGGGGAUGACAUACGUUAAACCUAUUAAUAUAUGUCAAAUAGUGAGAUAUGCUUAAAAUUCCUAUAAGAUGGUACUUCUCUUACACCAACCCAGACCAUUUACUCUGCACCUUCUAAGUGCCAAGCACUGGGCCAGAUGCUAUACAAAUAGCAUUUCUAAUCUUUUCCUCUGUGCUGCAUGGUAUUGUUAUGCUCAGAUGAGAAAUAGAGGCAUAGAGAAGUUCAGUAUUUUCCCCAACAUCAUUAGUAUGGGUUGAGCUGGGACUGGAAACUGUAUCUAGUUGAUGGUCAAGGCCUGUUUGAUUUCCAUUAGGUAACUCGUCUGUCAGCCUGAUUAUAUCCACAUUGUGGGGAUUGAAUUUGGCAACUUGGAGAGCUCCCACCAGCUCUUCGGACUCUCCCGUUUCAGCAACUGCUGGGCCUCACAAGCUUUGAGCCAGCUCUGGGAACCUUGGUCAUGAUGGUUGGACCCCAAGCUGCAUUCAGGUAUAGGAUCCUGGAGCUGAAAGUAAUUUUUGAUGGUCUGCACAGGGAGAUCCAAACCUGGGUGAGAAAUGAAGCAUUGAGAAGGCAGUGAGCUUGGUGCAGCAUCUGGAGUGAGAACCCAGCAGAGGAAGGCAUGGUGAGAAAGGGAGCAUGGAAAGAGAAUGGAAAUCAGAUUGGAGAUGGCCUCGGUGAGGGGACAGGCAGUUGAAAAAAGGUGGAGAAGCUUAAUUUAGCUUCUGCUUAAGCACUUGUUUUCCUCAUCAGUGUCCAUGCCAGUUUUUUAUUUUUGUUUCUCCACGCUGUGCAGUAUGUGGGAUCUUGGUUCCCCAACCAGGGAGCAAACCUGUGCCCCCUGCAGUGGAAGCGCAGAGUCCUAACCACUGGAUUGCCAGGGAAUUUUUGAUUCCCGAUUUUAGGAGAACAGAUUUCCUUUUCCCCUUUGAAGGAGGGAGAGUUCUCAAUAGAUCUUGGCUGCAGAGAACAAAGGAAGGGAGGUAUCUGUCCCUGUAGAACUCAAGCUUUCUCCCCACACAUUAUAAUGAUCCAAGUCAUCUCUGUACGUGAGAAUCUUCUGGUUCUUGAUGUAUCUUGUAAGACAGAGGGAUUGCAGUGCUCAGUCAGCUGUGGGAACUUUGAUUGCAUCUCAGUGUCUAGUUUGCACCUCUCACAAAGCAGAUUAAUAAGACAAAACUGCCUUUGCGAAAAUUACUAUCUUAUUUAAAAUGGAAUCAGAGCUCAAAGGAGCAGAUAUCAUGCCCCACCUCUAGACAUCAAUUGCAUCAGCAACAGGAAGAAGGUUUACUUUUCUACCCACCAGAAGAAUUUCUACUGGCCCAGCAAAAUACCUGCUAAUGGGAGACUGUCAAAACUCAGCCAAUGAAAACCCACUAUACUCCUCCCAUUUUGCUCCUUUGGAUUCUUGAGUCACGUUCGCCAGACUUGCUAACAGUUGCGAGUUUACAUAUUCCAGCCCUAAAUUGUCCCCAAAUUAAUUUUUCUGACAAAAAUAACAGGCUAUUUUAUUGUUUUAGGUAAACACCAGGUACUGGAGGAGGCUGUGAGAAGCGGCGGGAGCCCAGCUCGGGUACCGGCAGGGACGGGGGCUGCACCCGGCGGGACGAUGGGUUACCGCCCGCCACCUGCAGCGAUGGUGGAAGAAAUGGCCGCGAGAGGGCGGCGCCCAUGCAGGGACCCCAGGCUCCAAGGGCCUGAGAUUUCGCGGCAUCAAUUCUUUCCCGCUGACAGGCUGCUCCCUCUGUUGCAGCCGUGAUAAAGCAAUGGGCGUUGCGGAGCCCUCUCCGGAAGUACGUCACUUCCCCUUCCGGUUCGCUGGGUUUUUCCGGCCCCGGGGAAUCUAAGUGGAACCCGGCGUUCCCCUCUUCCCCCCGCCUCUAGCCUCUGAGUGGCACGCUAGGCGGCGAGGCGGGGGCAGUCCUCCUCAGAACCUCUGUUAGACUGGAGGCGACUUGCGGUUGAGCCCUGGGAAGAGGGAGCGGCUUCCGUGAAGCCAGUCCGUCUGAGCUCUCCUACAAGUUUUGAUACAAUGGAAAGGAGCACCUCAAAAGGUCCAGGAAGUGAAGGCUUUCAUCUUCCCAAAAGGACAAAGGAAGAAGAUUGUUUUAUUGAUUUUGUUCCAGACCAGACUGGGCUUCAGUUGUCAGAUCUGGAGCUGGUGGUGUAUCUGGCACAGGAGCAGAAUUGUUCCUAGAUCAAAA
RNA transcript from Bubalus bubalis (water buffalo), 6879 nucleotides. It is a transcript of the gene named zinc finger protein 75D, with no coding region annotated. The record is from RefSeq and is a predicted model, not a curated record. Lineage: Eukaryota; Metazoa; Chordata; Mammalia; Artiodactyla; Bovidae. The transcript is spliced from 10 exons.